Tephrocybe sp. NHM501043 is the source of this 100-nucleotide non-coding RNA. NCBI's taxonomy places the organism in Eukaryota, Fungi, Basidiomycota, Agaricomycetes, Agaricales, Lyophyllaceae. The record is from the annotation of a GenBank genome assembly.
GGCGCUGUAGUGUAGAGGUUAUCACUCGAGAUUCUGAUGGAUGCAUCGGUUCGCAUUCCUGGAUAUUCUCGAAACCCAGGUUCGAGUCCUGGCAGUGCCU